This is a long non-coding RNA of Erinaceus europaeus (western European hedgehog), 471 nucleotides long. RefSeq lists it as uncharacterized. The transcript has 2 exons. Lineage: Eukaryota; Metazoa; Chordata; Mammalia; Eulipotyphla; Erinaceidae. The record is from RefSeq and is a predicted model, not a curated record.
GUGUGAUGGGGAGUUUAACAGAGUGAGAACCAGAACCCCACCCUACCCUUCCACCCCAUCCUUCUGGUGGGCCCCAAGGGUGUGUGUGUGUGUGUGUGUGUGUGUGUAUGGGUGGGUGGGGUGGGCAUCCAGGUCUGGAAGCAUCAGGCCACACAGACAGAAAGAAUGGCCUGUCUCUGGCACCCUGGUCCUCAAUGUGAGCUGUACAGACCACCCCAUGCUGGAGUCCCCAGGCCUGUUCCCCCGGAAUCUGGUGUGUGAAAGAGAUUUUCUUAUUUAGGGGGCUGGACAGCGGUGCACACGUUACAAUGCACAAGGACCCAGGUUCAAGCAACCCCCGCAUGCCCCUCACCGGGAGGGGGGAAACUGCAUGACUGUGAAGCAGUGCUGUAGGUGUCUCUCCUUCCCCUUCUCUCUCAAUUUAUGCCUGUCUCUAUACAAUAAAUAAAUGAAGGACCAGUAAGUAGUGCA